AUUGAACGCUGGCGGCAGGCCUAACACAUGCAAGUCGAACGAGUGGCGGACGGGUGAGUAAUGUCUGGGAAACUGCCUGAUGGAGGGGGAUAACUACUGGAAACGGUAGCUAAUACCGCAUACCAUCGGAUGGGACCAGAUGGGAUUCGCUAGUAGGUGGGGUAAAGGCGCACCUAGGCGACGAUCCCUAGCUGGUCUGAGAGGAUAACCAGCAAAACUGGAACUGAGAAACGGUCCAGAAUCCUACGGGAGGCAGAAGUGGGGAAUAUUGCAAAAUGGGCGCAAUCCUGAUGCAGCAAGGCCGCGUGUAUGAAGAAGGCCUUCGGGUUGUAAAGUACGUUCAGCGGGGAGGCGUUACCCGCAGAAGAAGCACCGGCUAACUCCGUGCCAGCAGCCGCGGUAAUAC
Molecule: ribosomal RNA, 406 nt
Filed under: uncultured bacterium
Lineage: Bacteria
Description: partial 16S ribosomal RNA
Rfam family: Bacterial small subunit ribosomal RNA
Source: RNAcentral